AUAACUCAAAUUUGUAUGAAUUUGGAACAUUCGCCUAGGUUUGCCGCUAGGGGCGUUGUUCCAACUGCAUCCAAAUUUCAGUUA
Molecule: non-coding RNA, 84 nt
Organism: Bombyx mori (domestic silkworm)
Lineage: Eukaryota; Metazoa; Arthropoda; Insecta; Lepidoptera; Bombycidae
Source: Rfam